This 391-nucleotide long non-coding RNA is filed under the name Linum usitatissimum (flax). Its description in RNAcentral is "long non-coding RNA (LUSI_LNC003414)". The record is from RNAcentral. Lineage: Eukaryota; Viridiplantae; Streptophyta; Magnoliopsida; Malpighiales; Linaceae.
UAUUAAGCUCUGAAAAAAGACAAACAAGGAGCUCGUCGGUGACUUGUUGACUGAAAGGUCAAAGGUCUCUAACGACGAUAAACAUGAAACAAACCCGGGAGGAAUCAAACCAGUGAGAUUGUUUGAAGAUAGAUCGAGAUUCGCACAAUAGUUGGAGACAAAUCGUCGACGCUAGUCGCCGAAAUCUCGUCGUGGAAUUGUUGCCGGGGCGACAAGAACUUCAACUUCUUCUUCCACAAAUGUCGGUGUUUCAGCCAGAGACGUUAAACAACGCGAGGCUCUCGCAUCAAUAGAGGAGAGUGUCAAGAUCGUCGGAGAUUUUGUUGCCGGAGACAUCGAGGUGGAAAAGAGAUGGAAGAGGAAGAAAGGAUACAUAUGAGAUGAACGGUGU